This 82-nucleotide transfer RNA is filed under the name Blumeria hordei DH14. Its description in RNAcentral is "tRNA-Leu (AAG) (tRNA-Leu-AAG-1 1 to 12)". It matches the Rfam family "tRNA". From Rfam's summary of the family: Transfer RNA (tRNA) molecules are approximately 80 nucleotides in length. Their secondary structure includes four short double-helical elements and three loops (D, anti-codon, and T loops). RNAcentral also lists the same sequence under 7 other names. The record is from RNAcentral. Lineage: Eukaryota; Fungi; Ascomycota; Leotiomycetes; Helotiales; Erysiphaceae.
GGACAGAUGGCCGAGCUGGUUAUGGCGCCAGGUUAAGGUCCUGGUCACGAAAGUGGCGUGGGUUCGAGUCCCACUCUGUUCA